This 544-nucleotide ribosomal RNA is filed under the name Polyporus hemicapnodes. Its description in RNAcentral is "partial small subunit ribosomal RNA". It matches the Rfam family "Bacterial small subunit ribosomal RNA", at positions 365 to 950 of the family's 1533-position model. RNAcentral also lists the same sequence under 2 other names. Lineage: Eukaryota; Fungi; Basidiomycota; Agaricomycetes; Polyporales; Polyporaceae. The record is from RNAcentral.
UAGUCAAUGCUCGCAAGAGUGAACUAGCUAACUGAAAUCAGAUAGUUUAUAUAAACUACUGAUGUCGUAAGGGAAAAUAAUGAUAAUACCUUACUAUUAGUGUCGUCCAAAUCUGGUGCCAGAAGACUCGGUAAGACCAGAGACGCAAACGUUAAUCAUCAUAAUCAGGCGUAAAGGGUUUGUAGGCAGCAUUCACCAAACUAUAAAUAAUAAAAUAAAGUAGUUUAAUUGAUUGCUAGAAUCAAAAAGAGGUUAUAGUGUAUAACGCCUAGAGGAGGGCUGAUAUCCAUAGAUCCUAGGCAGAAUACUAAGGGCGAAGGCCACUCUCCACUAAUGAUUGACGCUGAGAAACGAAGGUUAGGGUAGGAAAUAGGAUUAGAUACCCCGGUACUCCUUUCUGUAAACGAUGAAUGGUAGUCAUUAGUUAAUAAACUAGAGACGAAGUUAACACAAUAACCAUUCCGCCUUGUGAGUACUACUGCAAAGUAGAAAACAAAAAAAUUAGUCGGUCUCGAAGCAAACGGAGUGAAGCAUGUUAUUUAAU